CAUCAUAUCCAGAUUAGGGUCUGCAUCAAUUGAUGGUUGAAUGCAGUCAAAUACCAGGCAGGUGUACGUGGCUUAAAGCAAAUGAUGCCUUGGCCGAGGGGCUGAAGCAGUGAGGUUGCACUUGGUGGUUAAAAUGCAACCUCAACAUUUCAUUUUCCUAGCAAACCAAUUCAGGAUGGCCAAGUACGUGGUCUACUAUUAACAGGACUUUAGGUUCCAACCCUUCCUCUUCCAAGUAUCUUUUUCACUUUUGAGAUGAAGCCAGCACCGGCACUGGUGGAACCACUCCCGAAAAAGGAUGGCUGUCACCUAUGCUUUCUGAUUGUGUUGCCAGAACACAGGCAGAUAAUUUCUGUUUUCGUUUUUGAGAGUGCAUGGGUUCUCUGCACGCUGCGCCUGCCUUUAUCAUCCGCCUUGCAGUGUUGCCAUGUACAUAGUACAGAGUUAACCUGCCGUUCUGUUUUAUGCCCUGGGACCCUUCUUGUGCUUUUAGGAAGGCGCUGUACGUGCUAUUGGACGUCUUCUUCCAGAAGAGCCUGGCUUCAUUGCAGUUGAAGACUUGCUUUGGAUGGGAUCCUUUCUCUUUAACCAACUGCUUCAACUCUGCCAGAAAUAUAGCAGCAGAUUCUUCACUGGUCGUCACAGCCUCUCCAUAUAGGGCCAUAUAUCUGCCUGGUGCACCUGUCAUCUCUACAAGGCCCUGGACUAGUUUGCUGUAGCCUCUGGAAAGAGAAGAGUUGGCUACCGACUCCUUGCCAUUGACGUUUCAUCUCAUUUGUCGGAAUAGCGUGAAGACCUAGAUUUUAAACCUGUUCUGGACUCUCACCCUGACCCACAGAACCUGCAUCAUCUGCUUGGGUAACACCGAACCAGAUUUCACCUGAUCCUUCUGAACUGAGGGAGGGGAAUAUCACAAAAGCACCAGAAGAACACUAGCCUCCCAGAGGCCUGAUGGGAUUUCCUGUACCAGAACGACUUGGACAGAGAAAGAGCCUCAUUGUUCAGAGCCAGCAGGUAAGGAGGGAGGGAGAGUGGAGAACCGUGCUCGGGGAGGCUAAGGUCAGUCGCUGUGCCCAGGGCAGGCUUGGAGUUCCUGUCUCUGUUGACUUACUUGGCUGGGAGAACACAGCUCUCGGUCAUACAGGAUUCUAACCCUGGUUAGAAUCCCUUGGUCAGUUAACCUGUCUAACCUUCAGAUCCUUUAUCUGUAAAAUAGAGCUAAUAAUGUACCCCCCACAGGGGUAUUUUGGAGGAUAGAUGAGGUAAUAUCUAUAAAGCACUUUGGACACUACCUGGUACGUUCUAAGUGCUAAAACGUGGCAUUUAUUGUAAGGUGACUAUUCCAUUUUCUAAGUCUGUUCUAGAAGCUCCACCUUCCUAUCUCAGUCCACUUUUGGUACAUUUCACUGCUCACUGAUAACUCACCAGAGAGGUAGGCCAAAUCAGUCAGGUUUAUUACUUGUUAAUAAAUCUGGGAGGUUGUCACUAAAAUGGGUCAGGGUUAGAGAAGGGAAUGGAGAAGACUGGAUUCUUGACUCACGUUUAGAACUUACGAGCUGCGUGGACUUAGGUAUAACCUUUCACAUCUCUGAGCCUCUUUAUUCUUUACUGAAGGAAGAUUAUAAUAGUAUCUUUCUUAUUCUCCUCUUGUGGGACCAUAGAGAUAAAGUUGCAAAAGUGACUGGUAGUUGCAGACUCAGGUGGAAAUAAGCUUUAAGGCAUAAUUUACUAUUAUUGUUAUUAUUAUUAUUGUUACUUUUUAUUUUAGAGAAAGAGAGCACGCACAGGAGUGGGGGAGAGGGGCUGAGCAGGAAAGAGAGAGAAUCUUAAGCAGGCUCCAUGCUCAGUGCAAAGCCCCUAGGUGGGGCUCGAUUUCACAACCAUGAGACCAUGACCUGAGCUGAAAUCAGGAGUCCGAUGCUUAACUAACUGAGCCACUCAGGCACCCCUAGGGUACAAUUCGUUAAGUAGGCUCAUUUUUUGUCUGGGCUGAUUCACCUGGUGCUGAUACAGAACUUCAGUAAGACUUGGAAGUAGAUUCUUUACCCGGGACUUUAAAAUGAUAACAGAAAGGAUUGGGAGGAACAAAAUUUGGACUAUGGAGUGAACUACCUAUUAUUUGCUAAAUUUUUACUUCAAGUAGAGAGACUAGACACUAGCUCUGAUAUUAACUAUAUUACUUCCCCAGUAGGGAACUUCUUAAAAUUGGAUAAUUUUAAGAGGUAUGACUUGGGGAGGGGCACCUGGGUGGCUCAGUUGGUUAAGCAUCUGACUUUUGAUUUCUGCUCAGGCCAUGAUUCUGCAGUUCAUGGGUACUAGCCCCACGUUAGGCUCUGCACUGUCAGCAGAGAUGUCUGCUUGAGAUUCUCUUUCUUCCUCUCUCUCUGUCUCUCUCUGGCUCAAAAUAAACACAUAAACUUAAAAGAAAUUAAAAACAACGUA
This is a long non-coding RNA of Panthera uncia (snow leopard), 2442 nucleotides long. RefSeq lists it as uncharacterized. The record is from RefSeq and is a predicted model, not a curated record. The transcript has 4 exons. NCBI's taxonomy places the organism in Eukaryota, Metazoa, Chordata, Mammalia, Carnivora, Felidae.